GAUGAAGAACGUAGCGAAAUGCGAUACGUAAUGUGAAUUGCAGAAUUCAGUGAAUCAUCGAGUCUUUGAACGCACAUUGCGCCCGCCAGUAUUCUGGCGGGCAUGCCUGUUCGAGCGUCAUUUCAACCAUCAAGCCUUCGCUUGUGUUGGGGCCCCGCGGCUGCCGCGGCCCCCUAAAUCCAGUGGCGGGCUCGUCGUCGUACCGAGCGCAGUAGACAUCCUCGCUCCGGGAACCCGACGGGUGCCGGCCGUGAAACCCCCCCCAUCAAGGUUGACCUCGGAUCAGGUAGGAAUACCCGCUGAACUUAAGCAUAUCAAUAAGCGGAGGA
RNAcentral lists this unclassified non-coding RNA (329 nucleotides) under soil metagenome. RNAcentral describes it as "partial contains 5.8S ribosomal RNA, internal transcribed spacer 2, and large subunit ribosomal RNA". The stretch from base 1 to 120 matches the Rfam family "5.8S ribosomal RNA", at positions 35 to 154 of the family's 154-position model. The record is from RNAcentral.